CGUCGACCGGCGCACGGGUGAGUAACGCGUAUCCAACCUUCCCAUUACUGUGGGAUAACCUGCCGAAAGGCAGACUAAUACCGCAUAGUCUUCGAUGACGGCAUCAGAUUUGAAGUAAAGAUUUAUCGGUAAUGGAUGGGGAUGCGUCUGAUUAGCUUGUUGGCGGGGUAACGGCCCACCAAGGCGACGAUCAGUAGGGGUUCUGAGAGGAAGGUCCCCCACAUUGGAACUGAGACACGGUCCAAACUCCUACGGGAGGCAGCAGAG
This 267-nucleotide ribosomal RNA is filed under the name uncultured Prevotella sp. RNAcentral describes it as "partial 16S ribosomal RNA". It matches the Rfam family "Bacterial small subunit ribosomal RNA", at positions 89 to 354 of the family's 1533-position model. Lineage: Bacteria; Pseudomonadati; Bacteroidota; Bacteroidia; Bacteroidales; Prevotellaceae. The record is from RNAcentral.